RNAcentral lists this transfer RNA (71 nucleotides) under Alucita montana. RNAcentral's name for it is "tRNA-Cys". The record is from RNAcentral. Lineage: Eukaryota; Metazoa; Arthropoda; Insecta; Lepidoptera; Alucitidae.
GGUUUUAUAUUCAAUUAUGAUUUAAAAUUGCAAAUUUUAAGGUGUAAAUAUAUAUAUAUUUAUUAAAACUU